This is a long non-coding RNA of Myxocyprinus asiaticus (Chinese sucker), 790 nucleotides long. RefSeq lists it as uncharacterized. The record is from RefSeq and is a predicted model, not a curated record. The transcript is spliced from 3 exons. NCBI's taxonomy places the organism in Eukaryota, Metazoa, Chordata, Actinopteri, Cypriniformes, Catostomidae.
AACAUGUAUUGCGCAAGAGAGCUCCCGGUUUUGUUCAUCGGUUGAGAAUUCUUUGGGAUGCAUAUGGAUUGCAUGUGUGGAGUUUGACCAUGUUUUGGUGCACAUGUGAGGACUGGGAGUUGCCCUUCUGAUGACUUGCCUCUUUGUGCUCUCCAGAGAGAAGGAGGCAGGGCCUGCUGCUCAUCAGGUGCUAGGCCCCCCCAGGUAAACAGCCAGCAGAGUGCAGGAGUGCAAAACCUCUAUUAACAGCCAUAGAAACCAUCAAACAGAGGCUGUUAGCAACAGGAGACAAUCUCACCAUGUCUCACACAUGACUUCACUUUGAUCAUUCCCUGCAUGCAUUAUGCAAUAGAAAUGUGCCUCUCUACUCCAAAUUAUGGAAUAUUCAGAAUUUUAAUCACUCGUUAUUCAGAUUAAACUCUGUCUAGACAUAUAAAUUGUAAUGAAAAUUGUAGCUAUUAUACUGUUAGCAAGGUCAAAUGAUUUCCAUGUCACAUGCUUUUUGCAUUUCCUAAAGAAAAUGUGAGAGCGGCACUUGCCCAAUAAAAUUAUUGACAAGGAAUGAUUACUUUCAUAUACAGUGAGGUCCAAAAGUCUGAGACUACAUUGAAAAUCUGGGAUUCAAAAUCCUACUUAAACUGUAAAGUAGCAACACUAUGAUGUAAAUUUAAUUAUAAAUAUUUAUAAUCCUGCACUAUUUCUAAAUCACUAACCAAAUAAGCAAAUUUGCCCUUGACCAAAUCUAUGCAGAUUUCUGUUAUUUUUCCAAAAGUCAUGAUAAUUGAAAUUC